UAUAUAUAUAUAUAUAUCAGAAACAAUUAUUAAACAUACCAAACACAUUGUUUUAUCAUAAUCAAGCACUUUGUUUUUUAUUAAUGCUUCUUGGUUAGAAAAACACAGUUUGCUGUAUUUUUUACAAAAAAAUUGAUCUGUUAAUGGUCUUUUAGGAUAUGUUCACACCGCAGGUAAAAGGAUACAAAUAUAAUAUUAUUGUAAUUUUUUUGCAAUGUAAACAAAGAUAAUAAAACCGCAACCUUCAGUUCAAAGUGCAUAUUGAAAAAAUAUUACAAAAAGUAGAUCAAAAUGAAAGUGAAAAUAGAAUAAAACGUAUAGAAAUUGCAGCACUGAAACAAAACAUAGCAGGAAAGUAUCCAAAAGCCAAACAUAUUUUGGUUUUUGUGAGUCUAAAAAGCACAAAUAUUUCAGAUUUCAAUUAAACCCAGAACUUUGCAAAUGCAGUCCAGAAUCUGAUACAUAUCUGAUGUUUUUAGGCAAUCUCAUUCUAUGUGGGGUCGUGUAUAAGCCAUAAUUCAUUCUGUUACUCUUACAUACAUAUAUACACAUGUAUACAUUCUUAUACAUAUACACAUUAUACACAUAUAUUCUGUGUCAUGUAUAAACAGCUUCACUCUUCACCUCUAAGCUUAAUAAAAUUCUUCUUUGUUCUGUUGUCCCUAAAACAAAUGACUAGUUUAAUUUGACACACACACACACACACACACACACACACAAACACACACACACACACGUUCUUCAUUUUCACAUUGAUUCAUAUUUUGUCUUUGAUAUUCUUGUAAUGUCAAACCAGAAAGUAUGUAUUAAUGUGCAAGCACGAAUGUGUGGGAGGAGAAUAUAUGAAUGUGAAAGAAGUUUAGAUGAAACGGAUUGUCACAAUGUGGAGGGAAGGUGAGGGAGGAAGAGCGGAUCCUUCAGGCAGGUAAAUGAACCCAGGCAAGACAGCAAUGGACAUUUGGUUCCUCUUUGAUGGUCAGGAGUGCAGACACGUGUAGUGAUCUGUAGUUUGUAUAUUUAUACACUGUAAUUAGAUCUAAAUAUUAUAAUCAGAAGUGGUUGUUUUUAUCAUCAGGGAGUUUACUUAAACACUCUGUAUUGACUGAGAGACAAGAAAAGAGAGAGUUGGGAUCGUUUAAGAAUCUUUAAUUUCUAUAAUUAUAAAUUCUUACAAUCUACCAGGACUAACUCAAUGAUGGAUGCAUAUGGAUCUGAAUGUUAUAGUGUUGGUGUGUGUGUGUGUGUUUUGUUCAGAAUCUCUAGGCUGAUGUAGCGAAUCUGGUUGUUAUGACUAGGCUACCACGAGGCUUCAGAAGCUGAUGACAUGAGCCGCCAUUUUGCCGUAACCACGUACCCUGUGGAGCCUCCCGUGUAGAUCAGGAAUUGCCAGGUCCUCGGACCUUCAGGUGUGCUGGAGCUGGUGAAACAGCGGUCGCAGCACUACAAAGCCCGUCCGAGGGUCGACUCCGGUAGCAGCGGCAGGCGUCAGCGAGUUCAGCUCUUAUUUUGAAGGAACGUCGUCUUGUUGUUCAAACGACGGAAAUCUCCAGCUUGACAGUUUUCAGCUUAAAGUAGAAAGUACAUCUGGCCAGGCUGUACUUCUCUUUGCGGUGAUGGAUCAAGAGCUGGUUUAAAACUACGUUGAGAGUAUGAUGUAACUCCUUUGAAGCUCAGAUCGAACAGAACUGAGGUUAAAAUGUAACUGCGUAUAAAAUGGCGUUGCCUUGUUUUAUAUCCCCUAGUUGUUUACAAAUCUUAGUAAACCGGAUUGGACAACUUCAUUAAACAACCCAGAUUCUGCCCUACCACAGACGAAAGUUCUGAUUGGAUGAGAGCAAAUGUGUCAUGCGUUUCCAUGUUAAUGUAGAUCAGUCUGUCUGGUGCAGUCCUGUUUAUUCAUUAAACACAUAACUCAUGACAUCUUUAUUUCACAGAUCAUUCACCUGAUUAUUAAUGAUCAACAUAUGCUCUGAUUAGCUUUAUCACGAAUAAAGUACUUUGAUUAAUUAAUGGAAAGCAUUCUUCUUCUCUUCUUCUGUCUCUUCUCCUGGAAUGUAAACAUACUGAAACCAGCAUCCGACCUUGGCGAUUCCUACACGUUGUUACUGUGUGAAGGGGCAGCUGUUAAGGGCAGACAAUAGGAUCUUAAUAACACUACACACGACAGGGUAAACAGGUGUGAACGCAAAAUGACAUGUCACGAGUAUGAACCGACAAAUCCACAAGCAACACACAAGGCUUAUAUACACUCUGGGAUGGGUACUCAGAUAACAAGAGGCAGGUGAACAUAAUUAAGGUAAAACCCAAGGCACAAUGUGACACGGAUGUGACAUUGAAUGAAAUGGAAGACAGACCAAAUUACUGCUCUGUGAUUGGCUGAAAGGUGCGAGGGCGGGUCAUAGUCAAGAAAGAAGUGCUUUAGCCAUGGAUAGUUGAGACGAAGCUGGAGGCUUCAGCAGGCAAUGGGGAUGUUAGGGAAUUAUCUGCUUCUGAAAUGGUCACAUCUUCAACUCUUGAGCAGCAAAGGACAUGCUCACCUCUCCUAACUCAACGCAUGGCUGAAAAUGGUAAGAAAUAACUUUUCAGAACAAACUCCUUUGCAGACCAGCCAACUUGUACCUUUUGGAAACAGCGUUUCAUUCAACCGUGCCUCGAUCCCAGCUAAGUAAACAUGGCAACGUUUUAUUUUGAUGAAAAAAUGAAAGCAGAGUUUUGUUACUUUAUUGUUCUGUUUGUGGGUUGCAUCAGAAAAGGAUACAAUUAUUACUCUAAUGUGGAUCGCACAGUAUAUAUUUGAUUAAGCUGAACUUGAGCAGAGACAGGAGCUCUGCUAAAGAUUAGCUUCACCUGUACAUUGUGCAUUACAGUAAUAGAGAAUUAGGGCAACCUUUGAGGCAAAAACAAUGAAGUCACGUGGAAGUGAGAGUCUUACCAUCAGAAAUGUUUAAAGAGCAAGUAACGUCUAGAUUAACUUUUUUUUGCUGAUGAACUGUAUAAAUGAGUGUCUAAUAGUGUUUUAAAUGUGUGUAUUCGUUAUUUUAGCAUUUUGGUGCAUUUUCUUUAAAAAUUAAAAAUUCUGCCUAAAUACCACAGUAUAGCACCACCUUCAGCUUAAAACAUAGAAUUUGACUCAUUUUGAAUAAAUUUUAGCCAAUGGCUAAAGAGUAAGAUACUACGUAAACCAGUAGAGUACUACGUAGCAGCUCUGUGUCAAAGUUAUAAAAGCAAUGAGCGUCUCGGCCACGCCUUGUGGCGAGUUGGGAGUUGGAUUUGCAAGCGAUUGUAGGAGGUUAGCGGUAGUUCAGCAUUAGCAUAAAGCGUUAGCAUAUCCUAAUCUUUAGCAUAGCUUUUAGUGUUAUACAUACUUAUUUAGUGUUAGCUUGGCUGUUGGAUAGUGUAGUUUAGUUAGUGUUUGGCUGUUAGUGUAAUUAGGAAAGUAGUUCGGGUUUAGUGCUCCAUAUCGUGUUAGUAUGGUGAGAAGGUGUAGUGUAGUAUGGUUGCGGUGGCUCUGUGGGGUUGUACUCCUUUCCGCUGGACUUAGAAAUUAGGCGCCAGUGGUUGUGUGCAAUCGGUGUCUGGAAAACAUUCAGCUCCCGCCUGGUGCUGUAGUUUGCAAACAGCAUUUUACCCGCGAUUCUGCACGUCUCCGUUUGAAGAGGGAGGCUGUGUCCACCGUGGCUCUUCCGCGAUUUAGAUGCAGCCCACCGACUCUGCUCCCCCACCGUGGCAGGCUCCAGUCUGAGGUGAGUAAGCUAAAUAAAAGUUUUGACAUCUUCUAAAGACAAUUCCCUACCUAAAUGCAAAGUCUGAGCGACGUGGUUCACUUCCUUUAGCUAGUCAGUCGGCAAUUCUGCAACAGUGGCUCUAACUGACGCAGCACUAGUUGACAGACAGCAUUACAGCGUGAAAUCCAGCUUGUGACCCGGUUCCGUGAGGAAUUCUGUUCAGGAGGUCGCAUUUCAGGCUCUCCACAUCAUGUGUGACUGACUUUUACUUUAUAACAACGAUCACACACUAGGAAUGUUGUAAAGCGCCUAUGUAGGACAGUUUCUUUUGUAUAUUAUCUGACUUUAUAAACUCCCAACAACAAUGUGCUUCUAUUUUUUUUUUCAGGCUAAAUCUACCCGAGACAUUGGCUGUCAGACUGAUUUAGUAGUCUGCAAGAAUGCACUUGUCCAGGCUGAUGUGAAGCCUUACCCGUAGCAAAGCCACGCAGUUUAGAGUUCACAGCCGCAGGGACCAUGAUGGAAAUUCAUCUUCCAGAAAGUCCCAGAGCAGCGUCCACACCCCUGAAAAGACCAAGAUGUGAGGUGUCUGCUGUUGAUUCCAGUUUCCACCUCAGUGACAGUGCAAGCUCAGUGCAAGCUCAGUGAACUGUUCAAGGUAAAAAAAAUAAAACAUUUCAGAAUUUUUAAGACAACAAUUAAAUAAGUAUGUGAUUACAUCAUGACAUCAUGAAGGAGGCUACUGAUUCUGGCCCUGUGACACUUGGUGGUGACGUGUGUGCUGAUUCACCUGGUGAAUAACUUUUACAUUAAAUAUUUUGUUUUUGCUAUCAAAAGUAAAUUAACUAAUAACCUGCAUUAUUGCAGGACACUCAGCAAAAUAUGGACUCUACACCAUGAGCCUGGCUGAUCACCUGAUAACUCCUGUCAUCUGGUUGUGACAGCAUGAGGAUGUCCUCACACACCUGUAACCUAUCAGCUCAUCUGGCAGAAUAGAGAGAGAAGAGACAACACCACAUCUCCUGUUCCUGGAAAGCCUUCAGCCAUCCUUCGAUGACUGAGAACCUCCAUCAGCUCUGUCUCCUGUCUGCCUACAAUUAUUAUAAUAAAUAUUGUGUUUGACAAGUUU
This is a non-coding RNA of Nothobranchius furzeri (turquoise killifish), 4854 nucleotides long. The record is from RefSeq and is a predicted model, not a curated record. NCBI's taxonomy places the organism in Eukaryota, Metazoa, Chordata, Actinopteri, Cyprinodontiformes, Nothobranchiidae.